UACAGAGGAGCCAAGCGUUGUCCGGAUUGACUGGGCGUAAAGCGCACGCAGGCGGUGGGGCGCGUGGGGUGUGAAAUCUGGCCGCUUAACGGCCAGGCGCCAUCCCAUACGGCACGACUGGAGGGCUGCAGAGGUCGAUGGAAUUGCCGGUGUAGUGGUGAAAUGCGUAGAGAUUGGGAAGAACACCAGUGGCGAAGGCGGCUAUCUGGACGGUUUCUGACGCUAAGACGCGAAAGCGUGGGGAGCAAACAGG
This 253-nucleotide ribosomal RNA is filed under the name uncultured bacterium. Its description in RNAcentral is "partial 16S ribosomal RNA". It matches the Rfam family "Bacterial small subunit ribosomal RNA", at positions 524 to 776 of the family's 1533-position model. The record is from RNAcentral.